This 453-nucleotide ribosomal RNA is filed under the name uncultured bacterium. RNAcentral's name for it is "bacterial SSU rRNA". It matches the Rfam family "Bacterial small subunit ribosomal RNA", at positions 28 to 507 of the family's 1533-position model. The record is from RNAcentral.
GACGAACGCUGGCGGCGUGCCUAACACAUGCAAGUCGAACGAAGCAUAGCAAUAUGCUUAGUGGCGGACGGGUGAGUAACGCGUGAACAAUCUGCCCUGUACAAAGGAAUAGCCUCGGGAAACCGGGAUUAAAACCGUAUGACACUUUAGUAUCGCAUGAUAAGAAAGUCAAAUCGAAUAGAGGUAUGGGAUGAGUUCGCGUCUGAUUAGCUGGUUGGCGGGGUAACGGCCCACCAAGGCGACGAUCAGUAGCCGGCCUGAGAGGGUGAACGGCCACACUGGAACUGAGACACGGUCCAGACUCCUACGGGAGGCAGCAGUGGGGAAUAUUGCACAAUGGAGGGAACUCUGAUGCAGCGACGCCGCGUGAGUGAAGAAGGUCUUCGGAUCGUAAAACUCUGUCCUUGGUGAAGAAAGGACGGUAGCCAAGGAGGAAGCCCGGCUAACUACGUG